This 344-nucleotide ribosomal RNA is filed under the name Gammarus cf. balcanicus 1ROBUC. RNAcentral's name for it is "partial 16S large subunit ribosomal RNA". The stretch from base 70 to 344 matches the Rfam family "Bacterial large subunit ribosomal RNA", at positions 2078 to 2603 of the family's 2925-position model. The record is from RNAcentral. Lineage: Eukaryota; Metazoa; Arthropoda; Malacostraca; Amphipoda; Gammaridae.
CUAAUCUGUUAAGUUUGUAGGGCUGGUUAGUAGAUUAAAGUUAGGGUAAGAAUUCUCUAAUUUUUUAGGGGACGAUAAGACCCUAGAAGCUUGACGAAUAGUAUGGUUUUUGUUUUAUUUGUCUGUUUGUUUUACUGGGGCGGUAAUAAUAAUUAAGCUAUUUGAUAUUUAAAAGAUCCUUAAAAUAAAGAAAAAAUGGUAAAGUUACUCUAGGGGUAACAGUGCGAUAUUUUUGGAGAGAUCUUAUUGAUAAGUAUGUUUGCAACCUCGAUGUUGAAUUAAAAUGUCUUUAUGAAGCAUAAAGUAUAGAAGAAGGUUUGUUCAACCUUUAAAUUUUUACAUGA